AGGUAGGAGGAGCACAUAUCAUCAUCAUCACUUUGCAAAUACACAUAUUGUUGAUUUAAUAUUCUCCCCUUUAUAAUGUGGUUACAUGAUGUAAUUUUGUCCUCCAGGUUUCUCUUGCGGCGGCGGCCACCGGCACACCUUUUAGGGUUCAGGAGCGAAUGGCGACUCGUUGCAUGUUUUGGCUGCCGAAGAAGAAGAGAUUCUGUGCAAUUCCGCUGCUCUCUAAUUCCGACUUCUGCGGUAAUCACUCCAAAAGAUCCGAUGACGUCUGGAUUCUAUGCUUAAUCGAUCCAUCUCAUUUUGUCCUUGUUUAAAAUGCAUCAAGCAUCAUAAUGAAUGAUGCAGCUGGUGUGCGAUUCCAAGCUGGACGCCAAGCAGAGGUUCGCUUAUGUUAAUAGGAGGAUAAGAAGUUAAAUGCAACAUAUAUAAUUAGUGUUGCAAGAAAGCCUGGAUGCUCAAUCUUUUUUAUUGCCUGAGGACAUUCUUGAGGUUAACCCGAAGAUGAUUCUGAUCCUAACAGCAAGCAUAUCAUGUACUAGAGCUUGUUACAGAAGUCUAAAGGUGAUGAAGAAGAUGGGAACACGCCUGAAUAAGAGGGCAACGCGCCAGAACAAGAUGGGAACGCGCCUGAAGAAGAAGGCAGUGCACCUGAAGAAGAAGGCAACGUAGCCAUCCAUCGAUGAAGGAGACAUCUUAGCGAGAUGCAAGAAAAGACCACUGAAAGUGAAAACACUAAUGAAGGGUGGUGAGAUUAUGCUAGAACACGUUUAGUCUAUGACGCUAAGUCAGCGAAGAAGGGUGGCGAGAGGCAGUUCAACGGUUUAAUCAACGUUUACAAGAAGACAUACACAUCAGACGACA
Long non-coding RNA from Helianthus annuus (common sunflower), 861 nucleotides. RefSeq lists it as uncharacterized. NCBI's taxonomy places the organism in Eukaryota, Viridiplantae, Streptophyta, Magnoliopsida, Asterales, Asteraceae. The record is from RefSeq and is a predicted model, not a curated record. The transcript has 5 exons.